UUUUAAGAAUAGAUAAAAGAGCAAAACUUAUAAUUAUACAAAAACAAACAAUCAGUGUUUAUGUCUAUUAGUUUCUAAAUGCAUCAGUAUUUUUCCUGCAGUUUCUUUCUAUAUAUAGACUUAACUUAGGGUUUCUUGACAGCCUGUAAGCAACACUGAAAUAAGAAUGCUAUUAAUCUUUAAUAUAUGUUUUUAUGCCAUAUAAAAUAGUAUAUUCUACUAAGCAAGUCUGUGACAUACAUUCAGAUUACAAUUUACUCUGCCAUUAAUUAUGUGUACAAUAAACAUAAAUAGUUAUUAAUUGUCCUUUUAAUAUAUAAUUAUGUACAAUUAAUGUGUAAAAUAUGUAUGCUUGAUACUUUCUUAUAAUUAAGAUAAAUAAAUACAGUGCAUCCACUAAGUUUUCACACACAGAAUAUAACACACUGAUCAGAUAAAACUAAUGGCACCCCAGGUGGUUCCCUCUUAUAAUCUAUGCAUGAUCAAUCUUCUCAUUGAGCAUUCUGGGAUAGAACAGAUUGUUCCAUGUGAUUAUUCAGGGGGAGUCUGGGUUUUUAUACAAUCCAAAACAGUCUAAAAUGACACUGCAACUGUGAUUCUCUUAUAAUUUUCAAGUUUUACUUUUAUUUAUCAUUUGAUAUAUUUGUACCUUCAAUAAAAUUAAUGUAAAAAUAAAAUGAUGAUGGCUUUGAUAUUUUGGGAUCACCCCUGUUUCACAUUAUGAUUGCCCCUUCAGUUAUACUGUUGAAAAAUUUGAAUCUCAGACAUUAAUGGGUCAAGUGGUUAUAGUUGGAAGUAGUGCAAACCUGGAUUUAUUUUAAGCAAUUUUGGACAUAUCUUGUUUUAAAUGUUAGGGAGCAUAUUUUGGAAUUUUCAAAGAAAACAUUUAUCUAAGUGUGACAAGAUUCAGGAAAUGUUUGGUUGUUGUAAUUGAACCUAAAGAUCAAUGACCUGGGACAGGAAGAUAAACAAAAGAAACAUGAUAGUAAAAAGGUUCAGGUAAAUAAUUUUAGAUACAUUUAUGCAUAAAAUCUGUUGUUGUUUUUUUUUCAAAUAAGUAUUAAAUACAAACUAUUUUAGAUCUAUAUUUUUAACCUAAAUGUAAGCUAGUUUAAAUACAAUUGUUUAGAGGAUAUUUUAAGAGUAUUAAUGUUAUUUUUGUCUAUGAUUGUAUUGAACAAGAUGAGUGCAUGAAACUAUGAUGACAUUAUUUAUAAACUCAAAUUCAUCUUUCAUCUAUUAUUUGAAUCUACAAAUUUUUAAUUACAGAGUCAGCUUGAAAGCAAGUUUGCAAGACUGUUCCAAACUACAAGAAGAUGGCAAUCCAGCUUUGCUGUGUUUUUAAAUAUCAUAGUAUAUCAUUGGCAUCCAGGCAUCGAUUAAGCCAACUGUAGACCAGGAAAGGCUUCAAGGAAUAUACUACAGAAUUGUAUCCUGGAGCAUUUUCCACAUGUGACCCCUGUGAUGGUGAGGGAAAAACUAAGGGACAUUUAAAAAUCAUGAAGAGUGAACAGGAAUUCAAAAGAUAGAUAUUUGAAUACAUUAAAAUUUAACCGGAUACCAAAAUAUUAUAACUGAACAUUGAGUGUAAUAUUUACCAUUAAAGACUUCUAACUUAACUUUUCA
Molecule: long non-coding RNA, 1626 nt
Organism: Ruditapes philippinarum (Manila clam)
Lineage: Eukaryota; Metazoa; Mollusca; Bivalvia; Venerida; Veneridae
Exons: 2
Source: RefSeq, a predicted model, not a curated record